Molecule: ribosomal RNA, 403 nt
Filed under: Fusobacteriota bacterium
Lineage: Bacteria; Fusobacteriati; Fusobacteriota
Description: Fusobacteria bacterium partial 16S ribosomal RNA
Rfam family: Bacterial small subunit ribosomal RNA
Source: RNAcentral
UGGGGAAUUUUGCACAAUGGAGGAAACUCUGAUGCAGCGACGCCGCGUGAGUGAUAAAGAUCUUCGGAUUGUAAAACUCUGUCCUUAGUGAAGAUAAUGACAGUAACUAAGAAGCAAGCCCUGGCUAAAUACGUGCCAGCAGCCGCGGUAAUACGUAUGGGGCAAGCGUUGUCCGGAAUUAUUGGGCGUAAAGGGUACGUAGGCGGUUUAAUAAGUCCUAAUUAAAAGGCUAUGGCUCAACCAUAGUAUGGUUAGGAAACUGUUGAACUUGAGUAGAUGAGGGGAAAGUGGAAUUCCAUGUGUAGCGGUGAAAUGCGUAGAUAUAUGGAGGAACACCAAUGGCGAAGGCAACUUUCUGGAAUCAAACUGACGCUGAGGUACGAAGGCGUGGGGAGCAAACAGG